GCACUUUGGCAGUGCAUGUAUUAAAAUUGGAAUGAUACAGAAAAGAUUAGUAUAGCCCCUGCCUAAGGAUGACAACACAAAUUCGUGAAAUGUUCUGUAUAUUA
Small nuclear RNA from Mustela putorius furo (domestic ferret), 104 nucleotides. NCBI's taxonomy places the organism in Eukaryota, Metazoa, Chordata, Mammalia, Carnivora, Mustelidae. The record is from Ensembl.